AUUAAAAAGGGGUUUCUGCCAGGGGCAGUUUCAUAAUUUUUCUGACCCUCAAAAAUUCUGGAAAUAUUUGAAAUGAUAAUUUGAUGUGUUUUCUAGAUUGUGUCCAAAAAUGGCGAUUUUUAGAUGUAUAGAUUAUGAGUUAUGGAUUUUAUGAGAAAAGACUAGUUUAAAAGAAAACCCUUAUAACUCCUUGUGGUUAACUCCAAAAUUGGUGAACUUUUUAUUGAGAGUACAUGUAUAUAACAUGAGUAUACCCUGUAAAUUUCAGAAUUU
RNAcentral lists this long non-coding RNA (273 nucleotides) under Panax ginseng (ginseng). RNAcentral describes it as "long non-coding RNA (PGIN_LNC000231)". The record is from RNAcentral. Lineage: Eukaryota; Viridiplantae; Streptophyta; Magnoliopsida; Apiales; Araliaceae.